This 28-nucleotide small RNA is filed under the name Bombyx mori (domestic silkworm). Its description in RNAcentral is "ovarian small RNA-11481". Lineage: Eukaryota; Metazoa; Arthropoda; Insecta; Lepidoptera; Bombycidae. The record is from RNAcentral.
ACGCAUGUGUUCUCGGCGCCGCGGUUGA